AGUUAAUGCAUUAUCCUGUCCAUGUCAAUCAAGAUCGAUUAAAUGCAAUGUCGACCCUCCCACAGAUUGCGAAGGAGGUCUCGUCACAGAUGCUUGCGGUUGUUGCAAAGUUUGCGCAAAAGUAAGUGGUGAGAUAUGUGGAGGACUUUAUAUGCUCGGUGGAAAAUGUGGGAAGGGAUUGAUGUGUGCAUUAGACAACUACAAGAAACAGGAUUCAAAUGGAACCUGUAUAAGAUCCUCUCUUAAGAAUUUGGGUGAACCUUGUAAAACUGAAGCUAAAGUCUUGUGUAAAAAGGAAUACGAAUGCAUCUUGAUUGAUAAUAAAUUUUACUCUAUAUGCGGUAAAAGAGGACCUUGUAAAUUAU
Long non-coding RNA from Gordionus sp. m RMFG-2023, 365 nucleotides. RefSeq lists it as uncharacterized. The record is from RefSeq and is a predicted model, not a curated record. The transcript has 3 exons. NCBI's taxonomy places the organism in Eukaryota, Metazoa, Nematomorpha, Gordioida, Chordodea, Parachordodidae.